UGACGUCGACACCUCGAAGUAACUUUUCCAGCAGCUAUGUAGCAAGCUAGCUCCUGCAAACCAGGAAGCCGGCGUGCUGAAUGGAUUUGUUUUAUUGCUUCUCUUUGCUGGCCGUCUGGUGGUGCUGCAUGGUUGUGGACCAGAGAGCCACAAAGACACAAAGUGUUCCAGACAGCAGGUGACUCCUAAAGCAUCACGCAGGAGGCGGGGUCAUGCCAGCAGGAGGAGAAGGCGACGUGGAGGCGGGGCCCGGCGUGGAAAGCGAGAGCGCGACUGUCAGACAUGCGGACUCCGGCGCGGUGAUGGAUGCACACCCAUUCCUCGUUCAGUUAGUUCUAUUUAGUGCCACCUGGGUCCCGCCUUCAGUGUUGGAUCAUUCUCUCUGGCUCUUCCUUUCGAGACCGAUGCUUCGGUGCUGUUUUGGCUUCCACACCUCUUUCUUCAGUGACCACUGACUCUCGGAGCUGGUGACUAAAUCCUCCAUAACUCAACUCCUGUGUGUGCCUCACGACAGAAGACACAACGCAGAACAGUACCAGGUGAUGGCGCUAAAAGUCAUGUUUGAGCGACUCAGGAACGUUUUCCGGGCUAUUUGCUUUCAAACGUUCAUGACGCUAUUUUUUUUUUCUUGAUGCGAUCAUGACGUUGAUUGUGGCAGUAUAUAAUUAUAUGUUUCAGCCAUAUUUUGAACUUGGUAACCAAACCAAACAAAAAGUUGAACAGAAUCUUUAUUAAUGUAUUCAGCUCCAAUGCAAUGUGUUUCCACAUCACACUUUCAAACCCCAUCAUUAUUUGAUACUUGUUUAUAUGGACAAACGUGCUGUUUUAGACUGCAGUAUUGAUCAAUUAUUAUUAUUAUUAUUAUUGUGUGCUGAGCUGUUGUAUAACUGCUGCCUCCUAGUA
Nerophis ophidion (straightnose pipefish) is the source of this 903-nucleotide long non-coding RNA. RefSeq lists it as uncharacterized. The transcript has 7 exons. NCBI's taxonomy places the organism in Eukaryota, Metazoa, Chordata, Actinopteri, Syngnathiformes, Syngnathidae. The record is from RefSeq and is a predicted model, not a curated record.